GCCGUAACGAGUGGGCCUCUCUCUCGCUCUCGCUCUCUCCAUCUGUGCGUCUGGGCAUAGCUCAAGCACGGCACUGGAAAACCCCUUCGUGUAGUUCUAAACAGAAAAGGCUACCAAAACCAGGGUUGUAGGGGUCGGAACUCACAGCCACGCCCUCGCGCUUCGAGGCGGCUCCAGUGCUGCGGCCGAGUUCGUACCGGUCCUUCCGUGCGUUUCUGUCUCGGCGUCUUUUCUCCUUUGCAGUCAUAUAGAUGGAAAAGGUGGAGAUGGUGGAGCUGUAUGGGAAGCCGACACUGAUAGCCCCCCCCGCCCUCUCGCCCGCCGCUCUUAGCGUGUGACCCGCUUCUCUUUUUUUAUUGCUCUUCCUUGUUGCGUCCUGCGAGAUACAGCAGACCCAGUGCACUCUCGCCGCCUUUGCUUCUGCGAAAACGUCUCACACACACGCGCGCACGAAAAGAGGCAGUGCGAAUCGCGUAACACCGGAAAGGCGAGUGCUGAUUCGUGGCACAGAGUAAGCGGGAGAGUUGUGCAUCGCUUGUUAUACUUGAUCACCUCAAUUCCUCUCAUCCACACCCGCUGCAGCGGCUCAUAUAAGAAAACAUGAUAUUCUUCCAGUAUGUCUUCCCUUGCUACACACGGAAAACGGCGUCUGAUCGAGCGUCCCUGGCAGAGAGGGCCACCACCCCAAGCAGUAAUGUGGCCUCAACAACGAAUCUAAGCGGAUCAGCAACAACGUCUCCGGGUGCCAGCCGCAUGAGUGAUCUUGCUGGAAGUAUUGUUUCAUUGGCCGCCAGUGCCUUCUUUGCCUUCAGUGUGUUAGUGGCCAUCUACUACUACUUUGAGGUGUACCGUAAGCGCACGACGGAGGAGAGGAGGAUUCUCGCUCACGAAAGUGGUGGUCGUAGUAGCAGCGGCAGUGGUGCUGGAGGCCCACCCAUGAUUCAUGUCAUUGAGGGCAUUCCGAUGCACUACUCCGCAGCAUCAGCCACUCAGCAUGAAUCGUCUGAAGAGGUGGCGUCGCUGCGGCGACUGGCACAAGCCUCCCCAGCUGUCAUUCCUCGAAGUUCUUCGGUGUCCGUCGCGUAUCACGUGCGCUCGAGAGGACGGGACAGGACGAUCCGCGUGCACACCUUGGACGCCGAUCCGCACGUCUUCAAUCCGUUUUCGCUGCCAUCAAGCUCCGUGGAGGCGCAGGCAUGCGUGGGCCAUGUCGUAGAAACAGACGAGGGAGAGCAGCGGCUCUUAGGCGGAGAGGAGACGUGGAAGCGGCUCGAUUACGGGUCGGCGAUGUACUACAGCAGCCCCAUCGAGGAGUCGUCGCACAAGGAUGGCAGCGAGGGGAACGAGGACGACGGCGACGUUGCCUUUUGCGAUGAUUCGGAGAAUCAGCCACCAGACGAGUAGUGGCGACAGUGGUCUCGCGGUGGCUGAACCGUGAGCGGCUGUGCCAGAGAACACGUGCAGAGCAGACUGUUGUGUGUGCGUGUGCUGUUUUGUUUCCGUGCGGUGGCACACACACACACCACCCUCUCCCUCUCUGCCGCGUUAGGCAGCCUUCCUUAUUUUACAUGUCUUUUUACUUCUGCGUGUGCCUGCACCCUUUUCUUUGCCCAUGCAUGUGCAUCGGCGCAGUGGUUGUCUGUGUACGUUGUUCGGGUGUGUCAUCUAUGCGCGUGCGAACGAGAUGGUGUGCAUAUCAGUGUCCGUGGCGAAUGCCGCAUACCGUUUAGCGUCUGCCCUCUCCCCCCCCCACGCACGCCUUCCUUGGCUCUAUCUUCUCACCCUUCUGUGCAUUCUGCCGUCCACAAUGCACUGUCGGAUUUUGCCCCUUCCCACCUUCACCGUCUUUCACCCCCCCCCGCAACGGCCGCAUCCUUUCUUGCCGCCAUGCUGAAAUCGCCUUGCUAUGCAUCUUACUUGCCGACAUCUUCUUUUUUCCGCUAACGCUCUUCGUCUGUGUCUUCUCAGCUCAAACCCGCAUUUUUCGUGUUCUUUCCGUCUUUUUACCGCUAUGCGCUCGCCCAUUCUGCCUCCCCACCCCACCCCCUUCCUGAAAAUGCGCCUGCAAGCCCGCACACCUAAUUCCGCAUACAUCGAAGUCGUACGCCUGUGCUUCACAGACCUCCUGUCGACUACCUCUUGGUGAUGCACACCGUCCGAAGCUCCCCCUACUCCGCAUUCGGUUCAGGGGGUAGGGACCGCUGGAAGUUGAGUCCCCUCUGUUUUCCCUGCUCCCAAAACCGCCUUCUCUGCCUUUUACCGCGAUUUCUCACGUGCUGUUGUGCAUGCGUACGUUCCAAGGUCUUGCCAUCUUCACCCCCCCUUGCCCGUGGGCUCGUUGUCUUUUAUGGCGCCGCUGCCUCACAGUUUGCUUCUCUCUCUGCGUGUGCACAUGAAUGCCUGUCGGUGUGCGUACUCUGCUACUUUAGCCGCUGCUCGCGUCGCGGCUUGCUCUGUCUGUGUGUCUUGUCUGCGUGUGUGUGUGUGUGUGUGUGUGUUUGUGUUUGUUGCCGUUGUACUACUGUUUUACCUUAUUAGAGUGUAUGCAUGCUCGAUACACCUCCCAAAUCCUGGGCGCUCCCCUCCCUUUCUCUCCUUCCGCCCUCUUAUAUGGUGUACGCGCUGGACCUAUACAAGCGCCGCGUCAUCAGCCGCAUUCGCCGUCCCCCUCCUCUCGCAUUUCCUGGUCAUUUCUUUUUCCACUUUACUUCUCAUCUGUGAUUUGUGUGUUGUUCCGCUUUCUCCUUUUGCUUCACCUGUGCGGCCUUCAGAAGGGUGGCGAGGCCGUUUUGUUCUAUCUCCCUUGCGCAUGCACGUGUUUAUGUGUGUGUGUGCCCGCAUCACAUGAAAGGUAGUUUUGAGGCACCAGCCAAUGCACGCACAACACGACCGCCUCGAAAGUCGUUCAUGUGAGAGGCUACCCCCAACCCCGCUGCUACUCGCACUCUCCUGCUUGUGCGUAAAGCACCUAGUACGCACAAGCAUCGACACGGUGCCCGAAACACUAAAGUGCAAGUUUGCCUGAAACGUGCCAGCCGUGGUUGCGCGGCGCACGGCGUGUCUGGGGUGCCGGCCGGCGGCAUGCAUGUGUAUCUGUCGAGUCGAGUUCUACCUAGUUACUCCCCCGUCCCCACCACCACCACCACCAUCCUUGCCCCCGCCCCCUUCUCUCUGGCCGUUUCCUUCUGUCCCGACGCGG
Molecule: unclassified non-coding RNA, 3199 nt
Filed under: Leishmania donovani
Lineage: Eukaryota; Euglenozoa; Kinetoplastea; Trypanosomatida; Trypanosomatidae
Description: gene:LdHU3.31.3370(CDS-product:hypothetical_prote in_conserved)
Source: RNAcentral